GAUGAACGCUGGCGGCGUGCCUAAUACAUGCAAGUCGAGCGAACGGACGAGAAGCUUGCUUCUCUGAUGUUAUCAGCGGACGGGUGAGUAACACGUGUAUAACCUACCUAUAAGACUGGGAUAACUUCGGGAAACCGGAGCUAAUACCGGAUAAUAUUUUGAACCGUAUGGUUCAAAAGUUAAUGACGGUCUUUCUGUCACUACUAGAUGGAUCCGCGCUGUAUUAUCUAGUAGUUAAGUUAACGGCUUACCAAGGCAACGAUGCAUAGCCGACAUGUUAGGGGGAUAGCCGACCCUGGAAGUGAACCAGCCUCCAGAAUCCUGAGGGAGGAAGCAGUAGGGAACCUUCGGCAAUGGGCGGAAGCCUGACAGAGCAACGCAGCGUGAGUGAUAAAGACCUUCAGAUCGUAAAACUCUGUUAUUAGGGGAGAACAUAUGUGUAAGUAAAUGUACACAUCUUGACGGUACCUAAUCAGAAAGCAACGGCUAACUACGUG
RNAcentral lists this ribosomal RNA (497 nucleotides) under uncultured bacterium. RNAcentral describes it as "partial 16S ribosomal RNA". It matches the Rfam family "Bacterial small subunit ribosomal RNA", at positions 28 to 507 of the family's 1533-position model. The record is from RNAcentral.